CGCUCUCAGCGAGUCCCCUCAGAAGCGCAUGCUCGUGGGCUCGCGCAUGCACGAGCCUUUCGUGCGUGCACGAGCCUCUCGUGCCAAGGUGCGCGCGUGCAGCGUCCGAGGCGGUUGGUAUCCGAGAGUCGAUGAAGCGUGAUUCGAGGCAAUUAUUUCCAGUCAGAGAAGGAAACCAGAGCCUGGCAUUCUCACCAGCUUUUCACCUGCCAUGAUCAAGUGCUUGUCAGUUGAAGUUCAAGCCAAAUUGCGUUCUGGUUUGGCCAUAAACUCCUUAGGCCAAUGUGUUGAGGAACUUGCCCUCAACAGUAUUGAUGCUGAAGCAAAAUGUGUGGCUGUCAGGGUGAACAUGGAAACCUUCCAAGUUCAAGUGAUAGACAAUGGAUUUGGCAUGGGGAGUGAUGAUGUGGACAAGGUGGGAAAUCGUUAUUUCACUAGUAAAUGCAGCUCAGUACAGGACUUGGAGAAUCCCAGGUUUUAUGGUUUCCGAGGGGAGGCCUUGGCAAGCAUAGCUGACAUGGCCAGUGCUGUGGAAAUUUCGUCCAAGAAAAACAGGACAACGAAAACCUUUGUGAAAUUGUUUCAGAAUGGAAAAGCCCUGAAAGCUUGUGAAGCUGAUUUGAGUAGACCAAGUGCUGGGACAACAGUAACAGUAUAUAACUUGUUUUACCAGUUACCUGUAAGAAGGAAAUGCAUGGAUCCUAGACUGGAGUUCGAGAAAGUCAGGCAAAGGGUAGAAGCGCUCUCACUCAUGCACCCUUCCAUUUCUUUCUCUUUGAGAAAUGAUGUUUCUGGUUCCAUGGUUCUUCAGCUCCCUAAAACCAAAGACGUCUGUUCCCGAUUUUGUCAGAUUUAUGGUUUGGGGAAGUCCCAAAAGUUAAGAGAAAUAAAUUUUAAAUAUAAGGAGUUUGAGCUUAGUGGCUAUAUCAGCUCCGAAGCACAUUACAAUAAGAAUAUGCAGUUUUUAUUUGUGAACAAAAGACUAGUUUUAAAGACAAAGUUGCAUAAACUCAUUGACUUUUUAUUAAGGAGAGAAAGUAGUAUAUGCAAGCCAAAGAAUGGCCCUGCCAGUAGGCAAAUGAAUUCAAGUCCUCGGCAUCGUUCUACCCCAGAACUCUAUGGGAUAUAUGUAAUCAAUGUGCAGUGCCAAUUCUGUGAGUAUGAUGUGUGCAUGGAGCCAGCAAAAACUCUGAUUGAGUUUCAAAACUGGGAUACACUCUUGAUUUGCAUUCAGGAAGGAGUGAAAAUGUUUUUAAAGCGAGAAAAAUUAUUUGUAGAAUUAUCAGGUGAGGACAUUAAGGAAUUUAGUGAACAUAAUGAUUUUAGUUUAUUUGGUGCUGCUCUUCAGAAGCAUAUAUCUUCUGAUGAGAAGCAUGACCAGGGCAGUUUCCAGGAAGCGUGUAAUAACAUUUUGGAUUCCUAUGAGAUGUGCAAUUUGCAAUCAAAAGCUGUGAAAAGAAAAGCUACUAUAGAAAGCAUAAACACACAGAACUCUAGGGAUUCAGAAGCUAUCAGAAAAGAUACAAACAAUUCAUUUUUGUAUACUUAUGAAUCAGAUGGCCAAGGCCAUAGUAAAAGGACAGAGUCAUCUACACAAAACAAAGAUAGCUCUUGCUCAGACUCAAGGAUGUUAGAACAAGAGACAAUUGAAGCAACAGAACCAGGAGGAAAUGAGAAACAUAAAAAAUCUUGCUUAGAACAUAACUCUUUAGAAAAUCCAUGUGGGACCAGUGCAGAAAUGUUUCCAAGCCCUUUUCAGACACCACAUCACUUUGAGGAGAGUGGAAUGGAUCGAGAAAUACAGAAAGUAAGUACUACUGUUAGUGGCAUAGCUACUAACAUCUUCAAAAAUAAUAGAAUUCAGAAUCCACUAGAGAGAUUUAAAGAUACCACUGAAAUGGGAUGCCAACCUCUGCCUUUUGAAACAGCAUCACUGAGAGUACAUAGUGCUCAGAUAGAGAAAGAGAAAAGAAAAAAAGAACCUAGUCACUGUGGAAGAAUAAACGUUUUUAGUUAUGGACAAGUUAAAUUAUGUUCCACUGGCUUUAUAACUCAUGUGGUACAAAAUGAGCAAACUAAAUCAACUGAAACAGAGCACUCAUUUAAAAAUUAUGUUCGACCUGGUCCCACAAGUGCCCAAGAAGCAUUUGGAAAUAGAACACGUCAUUCAGUUGAAACUCCAAACAUCAUAGAUUUAGCCAGCACCUUAAGUAAAGAAUCUGCUCAACUGCCCAACAAAAAAUUUUGCAGGACAAAUAUAAGUUAUGGGCUUGAGAAUGAAACUAUAACAACUUCUAAAAAUAUUACUGUUUUUCAGGAAGGUAGUAAAAAAUCACAUACAGGUUGCUUAUUACCUGAUACAUCCUCUGCUUUCCCUUGGCAUAGACAUCUGUCAAAUGGUAGUAAAAGAACAGAUAAAUUGAUUGGUUCCUCCAAACCCAUAGUGCGUAAGAAGCUAAGCUUGAGUUCACAACUAGGAUCUUUAGAGAAGUUUAAGAGGCAAUAUGGAACGGUUAAAAAUCCUCUGGACAUAGAAGUGGAGAAAAAUUAUAUUGAAGUCACUACCAAUCUCAGUCCUCAAGCUGAACCUGAUGUUCCACUGAAAGAUAAAAGCCACUUGGACAACUCUGAUAUUUAUAAAAUCAUUACUGUGGAGCAUAAUGAUUCCAAUAGUUGUCAACCAGUAAGUCACAUGCUUUACUCAGAGAAGUUUCCGUUUUCCAAGGAUGAAGAUUGUUUGGAACAACAGACGCCUCGUUUGAGAGAAAGUCCUGUAACUCUACAGGAGUUAUCUCACUUUGAUAGAAAACUUUUGGAUCUUGAGAAGUUACCUAAUUCACUAGCCUCUAAAUUAUCCAGACUGAAGGGUUCUGAAAAAGAAACUCAAACAGUGGAGGUGACGAGUCAUUUUAAUGAACUUCCAAAUUCAGAUUCCAGUAGGAAAGGUUUGUGCAGUGAAUCAACCCUAGAUUUUUGUAAGUUAUUUAAAAAUGAGCAUAAAAAAACAGAGAGUGGUAUCAUCCCAAUGUCAGAUUCUGUCACACAGGAUAAUUCCUUUAAUACAGAUAGUGAAACAUAUUCUAACAACAAAGCAAAAGAGAACUCUGUGAUUCCAGAAACUCCUUUGGUAUUACCCUAUGAUUCUAAAGUUAUCAGUAAAGAUUCAGAUGUUCUUAUCAGAGCUUCAGAACAACAGAUAGGAAGUCCUGACUCUCCCAGUAGAAUGUUAGUGAGUCAGGUAGAAGAUUCCACGGGCGACCAAAAUGGAAUUUGUUUUCCCAACAAGGAAUCUAAAGCAAGAGCUUGUUCUGAAAAGGAAGAGUCCAACAUGUGUUCUUUGGAUUGGCAGCAGCAUUUUGAUGCAGCCCUGGGAAGAAUGGUUUACAUCAACAAAAGAACUGGACUUAGCACAUUCAUUGCUCCUACUGAGGACGUUGAGACCGCAUGUACUAAAGACCUGACAACUGUAGCUGUGGAUGUCGUACUUGAGAAUGGGUUUCAGUACAGGUGUCAUCCUUUUAGAAGCAACCUUGUUCUUCCUUUCCUUCCAAGAGCGCGGGCAGAGAGGACUGUGAUGAGACAGAAUGACAGAGAUACUGUGGAUGAUGCUGUUGGUAGUGAAUCGCUUCAGUCCUUAUUAUCAGAAUGGGACAAUCCAGUAUUUGCUCGUUAUCCAGAGGUUGCUGUUGAUGUAAGCAGUGGCCAGGCUGAGAGCUUAGCAGUUAAAAUUCACAACAUCUUGUUUCCCUAUCGUUUCACCAAAGAAAUGAUUCAUUCGAUGCAGGUUCUCCAGCAAGUUGACAACAAGUUUAUUGCCUGCAUGAUGAGCACGAAGACUGAAGAGAGUGGCAAGGCAGGUGGAAACCUGCUGGUCUUGGUGGAUCAACACGCCGCGCACGAGCGUGUCCGCUUGGAGCAGCUCAUUAUUGAUUCCUAUGAGAGGCAACAGCCACAAGGCUCUGCUCGGAAAAAAUUACUGUCUUCCACUCUGAUUCCUCCACUGGAGAUAACAGUGACAGAGGAACAAAGGAGACUCUUACGGUGUUACCACAAAAAUCUGGAAGAUCUGGGCCUUGAAUUUAUAUUUCCACACACUAGUGAUUCUCUGGUCCUCGUGGGAAAAGUACCACUCUGUUUUGUAGAAAGAGAAGCCAAUGAACUUCGAAGAGGAAGAUCUACUGUGACCAAGAGCAUUGUGGAAGAAUUUAUUCGAGAACAAGUGGAGCUACUCCAGACCACAGGAGGCAUCCAAGGGACGUUGCCACUGACUGUCCAGAAGGUGCUGGCGUCCCAAGCCUGCCAUGGGGCCAUUAAGUUUAAUGAUGGCCUGAGCCUGGAGGAGAGCUGUCGCCUCAUUGAAGCUCUGUCCUGGUGCCAGCUGCCGUUCCAGUGUGCUCACGGGAGACCUUCCAUGCUGCCGUUAGCAGAUAUAGACCACUUGGAGCAGGAAAAACAGAUUAAACCCAAUCUUGCUAAACUUCGCAAGAUGGUCCAAGCUUGGCAUCUCUUUGGAAAAGCAGGAUGUGAUACAGGGCAGAGCCUGCAGCAGUCCCUGCCUCCCUGUGAGCCACCGUGAGAACAGAAUUACUAAUCUAUGAGGAACGAAAGGGAUGCUAACUGUAUGCCCCAGAGCAGCGAGGAGGAACAGCAGACACUGCUGCAAGAGGGAGGAGGCCAGCCCUUGUGACAGACACCCCGGAUUCCUCUGCUUUGGACCACUAGUUCCUGAACAUGGCAGAUCAUCUGGCCCAGCUGGGCACACUUUUUAGGUAAAAACUAUAAAUUACUGAAGUAAUAUGUAUUUAGAAAAGAAACAGUAUGUAAAUGUAGCAAAACUAGAUGUCUGCUGCUUGCCUGUUUGGUGUUUUUUUUUUGUUUUUUUUUUGUUUU
This is an RNA transcript of Lemur catta (Ring-tailed lemur), 4890 nucleotides long. It is a transcript of the gene named mutL homolog 3, with no coding region annotated. Lineage: Eukaryota; Metazoa; Chordata; Mammalia; Primates; Lemuridae. The record is from RefSeq and is a predicted model, not a curated record. The transcript is spliced from 14 exons.